Long non-coding RNA from Saccostrea cuccullata (small rock oyster), 794 nucleotides. RefSeq lists it as uncharacterized. The record is from RefSeq and is a predicted model, not a curated record. The transcript has 4 exons. NCBI's taxonomy places the organism in Eukaryota, Metazoa, Mollusca, Bivalvia, Ostreida, Ostreidae.
CUUGGUUUCAGUUUUUGAUUCAAGAUUAAUCAUAAAAAAAUGUAUGUUUGGGCUGAUCAUGGCGUUGUUAAGUUUUCUGUGCAUUUUUAGUGUUUCUAAAUCUCUGGGAUAUGCAUAUGCAACAGAGUAUUUACUAUACAUGGAUGACUUUGAAGCCUGUCAGAAGUCGAUAUUUUUCGAUAUUCAACAUGAGGAAUACAUUAUACAUGCUAAAGGCAGCAUGCAUUGGAAAAUGUUCGGAUAUACAGCAAAAAGGUGUUCGUUGCGCUUCAAAACCAAUAGUGAAAAUCACGUUUGUGCAGAGAUUAAAGACUUCCAUAUUACUGACUGCUCUGUUCAGUUGAAAUUUUUUUCACGAAAAGUCACUCAUAGAUCUGAAGAGAGAACCGAGUGAAAGUAACAUUUUUGAGAGAUACAUGUGUGGGGACUCUCCGGGAAGUGUGUGUAGUCCAGGCCCUAACUUGACCAUACAACUUUAUAAAGGAAAAAUCAACGCACAGGGGUACAGUUUUCAAAUCAAAGUAUUAUCAAAACAUAACCAUAUCUGGGUAAUAGUGGGUGUGAUUAGUGGUGUGACAGUUUUUGUUGUAAUACUUGCCACCAUUACUCUGUACUACUGCUGCUACAAGAAAAACAGAUGCAAGUGCUUCAGGUUUCAAAGUCCACCUACUGAGAGAGAACUAACCACUGAAGAGAUGCAAAUGAUUGAUUGAAUUAUCGAAGAAAACAUACUUUUAGCCUGCCACUUAAUUUGAUCUGUAGAGUAACAGUUGAUAUAUUGAAUGACUUUCAAA